RNAcentral lists this ribosomal RNA (440 nucleotides) under uncultured bacterium. RNAcentral describes it as "partial 16S ribosomal RNA". It matches the Rfam family "Bacterial small subunit ribosomal RNA", at positions 338 to 795 of the family's 1533-position model. The record is from RNAcentral.
CCUACGGGUGGCAGCAGUAGGGAAUAUUGCUCAAUGGGGGCAACCCUGAAGCAGCAACGCCGCGUGGAGGAUGAAGGUUUUAGGAUUGUACACUCUUUUUGUUAGAGAAGUUAAUGACGGUAUCUCACGAUUAAGCACCGGCUAACUCCGUGCCAGCUGCCGUGGUAAUACGGAGGGUGCAAGCGUUACUCGGAAUCACUGGGCGUAAAGCGGGCGCAGACGGGCUUGUAAGUCAGAUGUGAAAUCCUGUGGCUUAACUACAGAACUGCAUUUGAGACGUUGAGUCUAGAGUGUGGGAGAGGUAGGUGGAAGUCGUGGUGUAGGGGUAAAAUCCGUAGAUAUCAAGAGGAAUACUCAUUGCGAAGGCGACCUACUGGAACAUUACUGACGCGCAUGCACGAAAGCGUGGGGAGCAAACAGGAUUAGAUACCCCAGUAGUC